GUGGCUGAGGUUGCUUCCAGUCAUGAUUUGAUAGUUCAGAGGCUUUCUAGGUGUAGUCAGGAAUCCUUUCUUCGAUCUGUUUGGAUUUUAGAGCUCUUAAAAGGGCUGAUGGACGAACAAAAUGGAGAACCCAUAGAGAGUGGCAGCAGAGGCCCUGUGGUGUGAAACAGAGAUCAUGGCAGUUGGCAGAGAGCUCUAAGAAGUUCUAGAGAGUCCUUCGGUUCUGGUGAAAGCUUUGUAUGGGUAGCUUCUAGUUGAGAGAGAUUGUAUAUAAGAGUUGAAAGAGUGAGAAUCUCC
RNAcentral lists this long non-coding RNA (297 nucleotides) under Elaeis guineensis (African oil palm). Its description in RNAcentral is "long non-coding RNA (EGUI_LNC026073)". Lineage: Eukaryota; Viridiplantae; Streptophyta; Magnoliopsida; Arecales; Arecaceae. The record is from RNAcentral.